This 301-nucleotide ribosomal RNA is filed under the name uncultured bacterium. RNAcentral describes it as "partial 16S ribosomal RNA". It matches the Rfam family "Bacterial small subunit ribosomal RNA", at positions 509 to 808 of the family's 1533-position model. The record is from RNAcentral.
CAGUCGCCGCGGGAAUACGUAGGUCCCGAGCGUUGUCCGGAUUUAUUGGGCGUAAAGCGAGCGCAGGCGGUUAGAUAAGUCUGAAGUUAAAGGCUGCGGCUUAACCAUAGUACGCUUUGGAAACUGUUUAACUUGAGUGCAAGAGGGGAGAGUGGAAUUCCAUGUGUAGCGGUGAAAUGCGUAGAUAUAUGGAGGAACACCGGUGGCGAAAGCGGCUCUCUGGCUUGUAACUGACGCUGAGGCUCGAAAGCGUGGGGAGCAAACAGGAUUAGAGACCCCGGUAGUCCCUGUCUCUUAUACA